This is a long non-coding RNA of Lotus japonicus, 1063 nucleotides long. RefSeq lists it as uncharacterized. The transcript is spliced from 3 exons. The record is from RefSeq and is a predicted model, not a curated record. NCBI's taxonomy places the organism in Eukaryota, Viridiplantae, Streptophyta, Magnoliopsida, Fabales, Fabaceae.
AAAGGGGAGGCGAACAGCAGCGAUGAACGUGGCGGCGCGUGAGAGGAAAAGCAGUGGUGGAUCGGAACCUCGCGAGGGAGAACGGUGGGUCGUGGCGGCGCGAGAGGACGCGGCGCAACAGAUCCAACAACGUGCGUGGCGGUGGCUAGCAGAGGAGCGUGGUGGAGGCGAUUUAGAAGGAAGGAAGGAGGAAGGGAGGUGGUGGUGAUCACGAAGGAGAAGGAGGUGGUGAUGGUGGUGCAGCCAUGGGAGAGAAAGGGAGUGGCCACUGGUUCCUCCUCCUCCAACGGCCCCAACCCUAACGCAGCAGCAGAGGAGUUAAGACCAGCGUGCUGGAAAAGGAACCGGUUGAUUUUUGGCCUCUUAUUCUUGAUUUCCCUCAUAUUUGUUACCUCUGAUUCACAAUUUCUCUCUCGAAGGAAGCUCCUCACCGAAGCCACAAUGUCUACUACCUCACGCAGGCUUCUCCCAAUCCAAUUCUACUACCUAUUUGCACUGCAAUAUAUCCCCCCCUGAGAAAGACACUUUCCAGUUCUGCAGCAAGCAAAGAAACAAUCAUGGCAGCUCCAACAGAUUUUUUGGAUCCAAGACAGCGCCCCCAAUAAUAAAGAUCCCAUGAUCAGCAAUCUAAUGUGGAUGCCCUUUCGAGUUAGCAACAAGCAACUUUGGGCGAAAUGUAGACAGAAUGGAGUAUAAUGAUAUAGAAGUUUCAUUUUCUUCCUCAGCACCUUAUGCUUCAGAGUCAAAAAUUCUGGAUUGAGAUUUUAGUUGCAUAAAGGUUAGAAAAAUUUGUAGAGCCCUUUUUUUUCCCUUCCUUUUUCAAUGCUUAAUGUUAUCUUGAAUUCUAUCUUGCAAUUAUUGUAUUUUAUUUUAGACUUUAUCCCAAGGCUAAGGCAACAAUUCAGAGUUGGUGUUUUGAGAAACGAAAAUUUCAUAGUGGAAUAUAUAGUAUGUAGGUUUUAGCAAGCACAUAAAAUUUAAGAUUGUGUCAACUUUGAGCAAUUACUUAUGUUCUUUUUCAAUAGAUAAUUCCUAUGUUAGCUAGAAUGUUGCAAUUUUCAUU